This 1006-nucleotide ribosomal RNA is filed under the name uncultured bacterium. RNAcentral describes it as "bacterial SSU rRNA". It matches the Rfam family "Bacterial small subunit ribosomal RNA", at positions 519 to 1520 of the family's 1533-position model. The record is from RNAcentral.
GGUAAUACGUAGGGUGCAAGCGUUAUCCGGAAUUAUUGGGCGUAAAGGGCUCGUAGGCGGUUCGUCGCGUCCGGUGUGAAAGUCCAUCGCUUAACGGUGGAUCUGCGCCGGGUACGGGCGGGCUGGAGUGCGGUAGGGGAGACUGGAAUUCCCGGUGUAACGGUGGAAUGUGUAGAUAUCGGGAAGAACACCAAUGGCGAAGGCAGGUCUCUGGGCCGUUACUGACGCUGAGGAGCGAAAGCGUGGGGAGCGAACAGGAUUAGAUACCCUGGUAGUCCACGCCGUAAACGGUGGAUGCUGGAUGUGGGGCCCGUUCCACGGGUUCCGUGUCGGAGCUAACGCGUUAAGCAUCCCGCCUGGGGAGUACGGCCGCAAGGCUAAAACUCAAAGAAAUUGACGGGGGCCCGCACAAGCGGCGGAGCAUGCGGAUUAAUUCGAUGCAACGCGAAGAACCUUACCUGGGCUUGACAUGUUCCCGACAGCCGUAGAGAUAUGGCCUCCCUUCGGGGCGGGUUCACAGGUGGUGCAUGGUCGUCGUCAGCUCGUGUCGUGAGAUGUUGGGUUAAGUCCCGCAACGAGCGCAACCCUCGCCCUGUGUUGCCAGCACGUCAUGGUGGGAACUCACGGGGGACCGCCGGGGUCAACUCGGAGGAAGGUGGGGAUGACGUCAGAUCAUCAUGCCCCUUACGUCCAGGGCUUCACGCAUGCUACAAUGGCCGGUACAACGGGAUGCGACACGGCGACGUGGAGCGGAUCCCUGAAAACCGGUCUCAGUUCGGAUUGGAGUCUGCAACCCGACUCCAUGAAGGCGGAGUCGCUAGUAAUCGCGGAUCAGCAACGCCGCGGUGAAUGCGUUCCCGGGCCUUGUACACACCGCCCGUCAAGUCAUGAAAGUGGGUAGCACCCGAAGCCGGUGGCCUAACCCUUUGUGGAUGGAGCCGUCUAAGGUGAGACUCGUGAUUGGGACUAAGUCGUAACAAGGUAGCCGUACCGGAAGGUGCGGCUG